CCUACGUGUGGCAGCAGUAGGGAAUCUUUCACAAUGGGCGAAAGCCUGAUGGAGCAACGCCGCGUGCAGGAUGAAGGCCUUCGGGUUGUAAACUGCUUUUAUAAGCGAGAAAUAUGAUGGUAACUUAUGAAUAAGGAUCGGCUAACUACUUGCCAGCAGCCGCGGUAAUACGGGGGAUGCAAGCGUUAUCCGGAUUUAUUGGGUUUAAAGGGUGCGCAGGCGGCCUGUUAAGUUAGCGGUAAAAGCCCGGGGCUCAACCCCGGCGAGCCGUUGAAACUGGCGGGCUGGAGUUGGAGAGAAGUACGCGGAAUGCGCGGUGUAGCGGUGAAAUGCUUAGAUAUCGCGCAGAACCCCGAUUGCGAAGGCAGCGUACCGGCUCCACACUGACGCUGAGGCACGAAAGCGUGGGUAUCGAACAGGAUUAGAUACCCUAGUAGUC
This 439-nucleotide ribosomal RNA is filed under the name uncultured bacterium. RNAcentral describes it as "partial 16S ribosomal RNA". It matches the Rfam family "Bacterial small subunit ribosomal RNA", at positions 338 to 795 of the family's 1533-position model. The record is from RNAcentral.